UUGACCUCGGAUCAGGUAGGAGC
Molecule: ribosomal RNA, 23 nt
Filed under: Dirina ceratoniae
Lineage: Eukaryota; Fungi; Ascomycota; Arthoniomycetes; Arthoniales; Roccellaceae
Description: partial large subunit ribosomal RNA
Source: RNAcentral